UGGGGAAUAUUGGACAAUGGGCGCAAGCCUGAUCCAGCCAUGCCGCGUGAGUGAUGAAGGCCCUAGGGUUGUAAAGCUCUUUCACCGGUGAAGAUAAUGACGGUAACCGGAGAAGAAGCCCCGGCUAACUUCGUGCCAGCAGCCGCGGUAAUACGAAGGGGGCUAGCGUUGUUCGGAUUUACUGGGCGUAAAGCGCACGUAGGCGGACUUUUAAGUCAGGGGUGAAAUCCCGGGGCUCAACCCCGGAACUGCCUUGAUACUGGGAAGUCUUGAGUAUGGUAGAGGUGAGUGGAAUUCCGAGUGGUAGAGGUGAAAUUCGUAGAUAUUCGGAGGAACACCAGUGGCGAAGGCGGCUCACUGGACCAUUACUGACGCUGAGGUGCGAAAGCGUGGGGAGCAAACAGGAUUAGAUACCCCUGGUAGUCCACGCCGUAAACGAUGAAUGUUAGCCGUUGGGGAGUUUUACUCUUCGGUGGCGCAGCUAACGCAUUAAACAUUCCGCCUGGGGGAGUACGGUCGCAA
RNAcentral lists this ribosomal RNA (522 nucleotides) under uncultured bacterium. Its description in RNAcentral is "partial 16S ribosomal RNA". It matches the Rfam family "Bacterial small subunit ribosomal RNA", at positions 355 to 891 of the family's 1533-position model. The record is from RNAcentral.